Paramuricea clavata is the source of this 456-nucleotide non-coding RNA. The record is from the annotation of a GenBank genome assembly. NCBI's taxonomy places the organism in Eukaryota, Metazoa, Cnidaria, Anthozoa, Malacalcyonacea, Plexauridae.
GCAUGUAGAAAAUAUAUAGGAAUGCAGAAAAUAUUGUUAUACUUUAAUCUGAACACAAAAAUUUCCCUGAAACAAUUAACAUACAUUGGGCCAUACAGUCAUGCACAUAGUUUUGACUGUCAGAUCAGAUGUAUAAAGUUCAGCAUAGUGAGUUGCAUUCAUGGCCAAAGACAUAUUAGGUUAAUUAUUUUACAUAAUUAUUUUUCGUCAUUUGCCACGCAUGUAAUCGGUGAAGGAUUCAGGAUUAUCAUGGAAAUAACGUUUUAAACGUGCUAUAUAAAACGGUGUUCAAUAUUCAUACUACAUGAUGGGCAUAUGGCCAAACAAACACCUUGUGCUUUUUUGCUCAAAUUUACGCACGCAUGAUUUUGUAUACAUAAUAUAGAUUUAAAUCUAGCAAUUCAAAUCCAAAACUCAUGGGGUCAUGCAUGACAUCUAUCUAUAAUUUAUAUUUUC